This 388-nucleotide ribosomal RNA is filed under the name uncultured bacterium. RNAcentral's name for it is "bacterial SSU rRNA". It matches the Rfam family "Bacterial small subunit ribosomal RNA", at positions 30 to 416 of the family's 1533-position model. The record is from RNAcentral.
AUUGAACGCUGGCGGCAUGCCUUACACAUGCAAGUCGAACGGCAGCACGGGAGCUUGCUCCUGGUGGCGAGUGGCGAACGGGUGAGUAAUACAUCGGAACGUACCCUGAAGUGGGGGAUAACGUAGCGAAAGUUACGCUAAUACCGCAUAUUCUGUGAGCAGGAAAGAGGGGGAUCGCAAGACCUCUUGCUUUAGGAGCGGCCGAUGUCGGAUUAGCUUGUUGGUGAGGUAAAGGCUCACCAAGGCGACGAUCCGUAGCGGGUCUGAGAGGAUGAUCCGCCACACUGGGACUGAGACACGGCCCAGACUCCUACGGGAGGCAGCAGUGGGGAAUUUUGGACAAUGGGCGCAAGCCUGAUCCAGCCAUGCCGCGUGAGUGAAGAAGGCC